Molecule: small nucleolar RNA, 106 nt
Filed under: Helianthus annuus (common sunflower)
Lineage: Eukaryota; Viridiplantae; Streptophyta; Magnoliopsida; Asterales; Asteraceae
Description: Plant small nucleolar RNA R71
Rfam family: Plant small nucleolar RNA R71
About the family: R71 is a member of the C/D box family of snoRNAs containing the C (UGAUGA) and D (CUGA) box motifs. Multiple nearly identical copies of this snoRNA have been identified in Arabidopsis, and it is thought to function as a 2'-O-ribose methylation guide for 18S ribosomal RNA.
Source: RNAcentral
AUUCCAUGAUGAGGGCAAUUUUUGAUCAUCAUAUUGAAACGCUCAAAUGCCUCGUGAAACAUCUCACCGUGUUAUUGUUGAAAACUUCUCAACCCCUUUCUCGCAU